This 275-nucleotide unclassified non-coding RNA is filed under the name uncultured Tetrapyrgos. RNAcentral describes it as "sequence contains ITS2". The record is from RNAcentral. Lineage: Eukaryota; Fungi; Basidiomycota; Agaricomycetes; Agaricales; Marasmiaceae.
AAUUCUCAACUUCAAAGGCUUUGUCUUUUGAAGCUUGGAUGUGAAGGUUUGCUGGCGUUUUAAAUGUUCAGCUCCUUUGAAAUAUAUUAGUGGACCCAUUUGUGUUCAGCCUUAGUGUGAUAAUUAUCUACGCUAUGGUUUUGAAUACUGGCUCAUUAGAUCUUCGAGGUGUUUUAUACAUUCUCGGUAUGGGGAGUUGCAUGAACUUGCUCUUUCUGUCUAUUGAGUUUGGCUUGUCUGCUUUCUAACUGUCUACUUUGUGGACAAUUUGAACC